CCCUUAGAUGUCCUGGGCCGCACGCGCGCUACACUGAUGCAUUCAACGAGUUUUACCUUGGCCGAGAGGCCUGGGCAAUCUUUUAAACCUGCAUCGUGAUAGGGAUAGAUUAUUGCAAUUAUUAAUCUUGAACGAGGAAUUCCUAGUAAACGCAAAUCAUCAAUUUGCAUUGAUUACGUCCCUGCCCUUUGUACACACCGCCCGUCGCACCUACCGAUUGAAUGGUCCGGCGAAGCCUCGGGAUUGUGGCCAGUUCACUUCAUUGGGAGUUGGCUGCGAGAACUUGUCUAAACCUUAUCAUUUAGAGGAAGGUGAAGUCGUAACA
This 325-nucleotide ribosomal RNA is filed under the name uncultured eukaryote. RNAcentral describes it as "partial 18S ribosomal RNA". It matches the Rfam family "Eukaryotic small subunit ribosomal RNA", at positions 1470 to 1796 of the family's 1831-position model. The record is from RNAcentral.